This 2609-nucleotide long non-coding RNA is filed under the name Homo sapiens (human). RNAcentral's name for it is "non-protein coding LINC01895:9". Lineage: Eukaryota; Metazoa; Chordata; Mammalia; Primates; Hominidae. The record is from RNAcentral.
UUACAACAACUUUGUAUGAGCUCACUUCCCAUCCCUCUUUUUUGCCUUUAAAAACUUGCUUGUAACAAAGGCUGGGCGGAGCUCACAUUCAACGUUUCUUGGGUCUAAAUCUUCCGGGCAGCUGUCUACACUUUGGCUCAGAUAGGGUCUUGUUCUGUCACCCAGGCUGGAGUGCAGGGGCAUGAUCACUGCUCACCCCAACGUCAACCUCCUGGAUUCAACUGAUCCUCCCAAUUGAAUGAUUGUUCUGAAAUACCCUCUGCAGGACUCCUUUGUGAUAUUCAUCAAAUAUUUCUUGCUCUCCACCCUCCAGACACAUGUGAUUUUCAUGGUGUGAUAUAUAGUCAACCCCACAUCAGAUCACCUGGAAUCAUUGUCGAUAUUGGGUACAACUUGCCUCACCCCAGAAUUUCAAGGAGUGUGACCUGCGAGUCUGUAUUUUUACCAGGUACCAUCUGCUGACUUCCCACAUCAGAAGCAGAAUGAUCUUCAACCCAAGACACAGGCAAAGAGAGCAUCUAACUGCUUAAAAUGAGAGCAGGAAUGGCUGUUGGCUUAGAUAGAUGGCACCCCAGAGUCCUGAAAGAACUUGCAGAUGUGAUCACAGGACCAUCUGAACCGGAGAAACCGGGGGGAAUGGAGAGACAGCAAAAGACCGGAGAUGGGUAAAUGAGUUCCAGAUUUUCCAACACAACAGGAAAGGUGACUUACGGGUCUGUGUGCUGGUUACAUUUAAUGUUGAGCUUCAGCAAAACUCCGGAACAGAUGAUUGAAGGGGCUUUGUGCGUAUUUAUUAAAGAAAGUAAUGAUUGCUAGGCACUCUCAUGAGUUCCCCGAAAUCUGAGCUCGUGCCAGACAACCUUGUUUCCAUGCCAUAGCACUCCACUGGACGAGCAGGAAAAUAUCAUAGUCAGAAAUGACUUAUUUUAGCAAGACACUUAGCAAAAGUCUCACGUGACAUCCUUGUGGACCGAGGAAUGUGGACUGGUGGUUGCUUUGUGUCCACAUUUCAGGGGACCCACUCAGGGUCCUCCUUAGGCCCCUGUCUCUACACGAAACCUCAGCCACAAAGGUGCAAGGGAAAUAAACUGACUGUCACAGAGACAAUUGCUAAUGAACUUUUAAAAAACGAAUGACUUAUUUUUUAAAAUUUUUAUUUUUCAAUUAACAGAACUAAAUUUAUUCUCAAUGUUAUAACUAUGGAAAAUGGAAAAAAUUGCUACCUCUUACUUUCUUAUUCCUUUUAAUUGAAUAUAUUUGAGGUGUACAGCAUAUUUUCAUAUACUUACCUUUUUUUUUUUCCGUGAGAGACAGAGCCUCACUCUGUUGUCUAGGCUGGAGCAUAGCAGUGCAACCAUGGCUCACUGCUGCCUCCAACUCCUGGGCUCAGGUGAUCCUCCCACCUUAGCGCCCCCGAGUAGCUGAGACUACAGGCACAUGCCACCACAUCCAACUAAUUUUUUUUUCUGUAGAGACAAUCCUCCUGCCUCAGCUUCCCAAGGAGCUGGGACUAUGGACACGCACCACCAUGCUCAGCUGAUUUUUAAAUUUUUUGUAGAGACGGGGUCUCACUGUAUUUCCCAGGAGUGUCUUGAACUCCUGGACUCAAGCAAUCCUCUGCCUUUGCCUCCCAAAGUGUUGGGAUUUCAGGCAUGAGCUACUGUGCCUGGCCAAUAUACUUAUCUUGAUAUGCAUAUACAUAGUGAGGUGGUCACUAUAGUCAAGUAAAUUGAUAUACUGGUACAUUAUCUCUAUAGCUACUUUUCCUCUGUAUGUGUGUGUGUGUGUGAGUACCUAAAAUCUACUCUCUUGCUUCAGGGUAUAAUGAGGUAGGAAGGCUUAGUCAUCUAGGGAAACUAUACCAUGUACUUAUUAUCUUUUUAGUGUUGGGAUUAGGGUUGCCAGAUAAAAUACAGGAUGCCCCACUAAAUUUGAAUUGCUAAACAACAGGGACAUACUUAGACACAAACAUUAUUCAGUGUUUAUCUGAAAUUCAAAUUCCGCUGGGUGUCAGGCAUUUCUGUUUGCCAACUCCAGCAGCCCCAGCUGGGAGGUGCCCUCUGAGCUCCUCUCCCUGGAAGUCCUCUUACCUGCUGUCAGCUGAGCAAUUUGCCAGGCUUGCUUUGGGAGCUGGCUUGAAGUUAUUUGGAUUUGAUGACUCUCUUUCUCUUCUGUACAGGAAUCUACUUACCAAGAUGGCAGGAGCAAGUGGUUAUCAGAGCCUGCUCUCUAGAAAUACAAUUAAACAAGCAGCCCCUGUCUCUUUUUCUCCACUUUCAGUCUUGGGGAAGGGAUUGGAAUAUGUGAGCAGGAGAGAAGGGUCAUGUUGGAGCAGCCAGGACUCAGAGCCUUUCCGCAGACUGAGUCUGGAUCCUUUCCUUCAGCCUCCAGGAAUACUCCCGGCUCCACACCCAGAAUGGUAAUCCAGGCAAGGGCUCUGGUGUGUGGCCACACUGCCACCUAUUACCUGCGGGUCCAAAUGCAGUGACUCAACUUCUCUGUGCCUCUCUUUCCACAUGUAUAAAAUGAGGAUAAUGUUGCUAUUGUAAGAAUUGCAUCAAUUAAUAAACAGCACUCAGUGAAUCUGUUAGCCCAUCAGUGGAUCGCGC